GCAGAAGCUGCAGUGGUGCUCAGUGCAGCCACAGCACCUGCAGCCACCUCUGUCUGCACUGACCCAAAAUGACCACGUGGACCAUGCAGUGACUGGAUGGCAACCUGCUCUUAGCCCACUGCUGCACUGACCACAUUUGAACCGGACGAGAGCUGCACAGCUGCAGUCUGGCACCCAAACACUGAAUGUCCUAUAAAUGUGUGUUCAGCAACCAUCCUGCAGCUGGGCUCGAUGGGGAAACGGCACCACCUGCAAAACGAUUGCAGCCCUGUGCUAACUGCACCACACACACACACGGCUGUGUGUCAUGUCAUAUAACUGCACUGCGCGCACACACACUGGCUGUGUGCAUAACUGCAGAACACACACAUACAGGCUGUGUAUAUAUUUGAGAUUGUAGAACAUGCUUGUUUGUAUUUAAUGUUAGUGAUAGUGGUUUAGGUGAACAAAAGAUGCACUGUAUGUCUCAGAUUGUGUACAUUAGCUGUAGGCAGACAUGGUAAUUAUACCUUCUCCAGCUCAGUGUUUACUCUUUCCCACACUCCUGUAGUGUUUACUAGCUUUUGGGCUGCAUUAGUAUUGGUAGAGAGGGGGCCCACAGUGGUAAUUUCCAGUGGGGGCUGGAUGUGUCGCCAAGGUGGCUGGACUCGUGGGUGAGUUGAGCCGUGAAUAUGGCGGUAUGAUGAAGUCAUCCAUAAAAUUACAGCAGACUCUGCCCCGGCCGCCUCGCCCAAAGGGGGAGAGAAUUAAAGUGCAAUCAGAACGACGCGGAGCUGAGAACAGAUCAGGGCAAAGGUGGUGGAGUUCCCGAAUCUGGAGAAGAGGCACCUGUCAGACACCGCCAGGAGCAACGGCGUCGAAGAUGGACCCUGUGGUUCCGCCGUCGGGUCGGAACCACGCGCCCCGUCCCCUGAGCGUCCUGGACGAAGAACGGCUCGAUGUCCUCGGCCAGAGGAGGGAACAGGAGACCCCACCGCUGUGGGAGAGUGUGAAAUCAGUGUGUAGGUGUGUGUGUGUGUGGGGCGUUCGCAAUGGAGCCCCACUGGGUGUAAACAGUAAGCAAAAGUGUGGGAUGCAAGUUGGUUCUUCGAUUACAAGGUGACGGCUAUAAGCACUGCCACCUGCUCCACACUAGCCGUGGCACACCGACACUGGGACACUGAUACGGAGCUACCGUGUUUUAUACUCAGCUCUUGGUGUAAUGAAGGAUGGUUAAACCGCGGUAUUGGACCUAUUGACAGUAAAAAUGACCCGGCAGUGUAAAUGGGUAAAAUAUUGCAAGUUGCUUGGGAGAAAAGUGUCAGCCAAAUGAACAAGUAAUAAUGGUGAGUUUACCCCAGUAACAGUGUGUUUGAGUAUCAGUGUGGCUCACUACUCCAGUGUCAGAGUAUCAGUGUACCCUAGUAUCACUGUGUUAGUUGUCAGUAUAUCCUAGUAUCACUGUGAGUAUACCCUAGUACCAGUGUCCAGUUUACCCUAGUAUCAGUGUGUCUCGCUGUCAGUGUGUCCCGGU
RNAcentral lists this long non-coding RNA (1513 nucleotides) under Scleropages formosus (Asian bonytongue). RNAcentral's name for it is "lncRNA (ENSSFOG00015026233.1)". Lineage: Eukaryota; Metazoa; Chordata; Actinopteri; Osteoglossiformes; Osteoglossidae. The record is from RNAcentral.